RNAcentral lists this small nuclear RNA (161 nucleotides) under Castor canadensis (American beaver). RNAcentral describes it as "U1 spliceosomal RNA (ENSCCNG00000015917.1)". It matches the Rfam family "U1 spliceosomal RNA". Rfam says of the family: U1 is a small nuclear RNA (snRNA) component of the spliceosome (involved in pre-mRNA splicing). Its 5' end forms complementary base pairs with the 5' splice junction, thus defining the 5' donor site of an intron. There are significant differences in sequence and secondary structure between metazoan and yeast U1 snRNAs, the latter being much longer (568 nucleotides as compared to 164 nucleotides in human). The record is from Rfam by way of RNAcentral. Lineage: Eukaryota; Metazoa; Chordata; Mammalia; Rodentia; Castoridae.
AUACUUACCUGGCAGGGGAGAUACCAUGAUCAUGAAGGUGAUUUUCCUAGGACAAGGCAUAUCCAUUGCACUCUGGAGGUGCUAACUAAGCAAUGCCCCCAAAUGCGGAAACUCAACUGCAUAAUUUGAGAUAGUGGGAGACUGUGUUGCACUCUCCCCUG